RNAcentral lists this small nucleolar RNA (100 nucleotides) under Saccharomyces arboricola H-6. The record is from RNAcentral. Lineage: Eukaryota; Fungi; Ascomycota; Saccharomycetes; Saccharomycetales; Saccharomycetaceae.
AUAUAUGAUGAUACCCAAUAACAACAACAACAUGAAUUUCUUCGUCCGAAUCCUUUAUAGGUGGAAACAAACUUUUGACAAUAGCUUUUUAACACUGAUC